CCUACGGGUGGCAGCAGUGGGGGAUAUUGCACAAUGGGGGGAACCCUGAUGCAGCGACGCCGCGUGGGUGAAGGAGCGUUUCGGCGCGUAAAGCUCUAUCAGCAGGGAAGAAAAUGACGGUACCUGACUAAGAAGCCCCGGCGAACUACGUGCCAGCAGCCGCGGUAAUACGUCGGGGGCAAGCGUGAUCCGGAUUUAAUGGGUGUAAAGGGAGCGUAGACGGCCAGACAAGUCAGAAGUGAAAGCCCAGGGCUCAACCCUGGGACUGCUUUUGAAACUGGCGGGCGGGAGUGCAGGAGAGGUAAGCGGAAUUCCUGGUGUAGCGGUGAAAUGCGUAGAUAUUAGGAGGAACACCAGUGGCGAAGGCCGCUUACUGGACUGUAACUGACGUUGAGGCUCGAAAGCGUGGGGAGCAAACAGGAUUAGAUACCCCUGUAGUC
This 440-nucleotide ribosomal RNA is filed under the name uncultured bacterium. Its description in RNAcentral is "partial 16S ribosomal RNA". It matches the Rfam family "Bacterial small subunit ribosomal RNA", at positions 338 to 795 of the family's 1533-position model. The record is from RNAcentral.